This 672-nucleotide ribosomal RNA is filed under the name Listeria monocytogenes. Its description in RNAcentral is "bacterial SSU rRNA". It matches the Rfam family "Bacterial small subunit ribosomal RNA", at positions 859 to 1532 of the family's 1533-position model. Lineage: Bacteria; Bacillati; Bacillota; Bacilli; Caryophanales; Listeriaceae. The record is from RNAcentral.
AUUAAGCACUCCGCCUGGGGAGUACGACCGCAAGGUUGAAACUCAAAGGAAUUGACGGGGGCCCGCACAAGCGGUGGAGCAUGUGGUUUAAUUCGAAGCAACGCGAAGAACCUUACCAGGUCUUGACAUCCUUUGACCACUCUGGAGACAGAGCUUUCCCUUCGGGGACAAAGUGACAGGUGGUGCAUGGUUGUCGUCAGCUCGUGUCGUGAGAUGUUGGGUUAAGUCCCGCAACGAGCGCAACCCUUGAUUUUAGUUGCCAGCAUUUAGUUGGGCACUCUAAAGUGACUGCCGGUGCAAGCCGGAGGAAGGUGGGGAUGACGUCAAAUCAUCAUGCCCCUUAUGACCUGGGCUACACACGUGCUACAAUGGAUAGUACAAAGGGUCGCGAAGCCGCGAGGUGGAGCUAAUCCCAUAAAACUAUUCUCAGUUCGGAUUGUAGGCUGCAACUCGCCUACAUGAAGCCGGAAUCGCUAGUAAUCGUGGAUCAGCAUGCCACGGUGAAUACGUUCCCGGGCCUUGUACACACCGCCCGUCACACCACGAGAGUUUGUAACACCCGAAGUCGGUAGGGUAACCUUUAUGGAGCCAGCCGCCGAAGGUGGGACAGAUAAUUGGGGUGAAGUCGUAACAAGGUAGCCGUAUCGGAAGGUGCGGCUGGAUCACCUCCUU